Molecule: long non-coding RNA, 8496 nt
Organism: Dermacentor andersoni
Lineage: Eukaryota; Metazoa; Arthropoda; Arachnida; Ixodida; Ixodidae
Source: RefSeq, a predicted model, not a curated record
GACGCCACUUUCGUUCUUUGUUUUUUUCACGUCCGGGAUGUCACAUCCGCCCUUUCUUUUGGCGGUAUGGAAGGAACGAACAGACGCGGACAGCGCUACAGUGCUCUAACAGCGCCUAUAAAUAAGGGGCUUUAACCGCUGUCAGCCAGCCCGAGCCGCCGUUUAAGCUUCUGAGAAGCGCGCCCGCUCGACUUUCGGGAGAACACCACUCGACCAGCCACAGACCAGCGAGACAACGUGCGCCAACCUGCGGAUAGGCCCCGUCGUGUCACUCAGGUCGUCGGACUGUCGCAGUGCCAGCGGUCGCAACAUCUGGACCUUUGUCUUCAACUCCUAUGCUCCUGCCCUACGCUCCCGCUUCACCGCUGCCGUCCGCAAGCCAGCUUUCGAGAGGACUCGUUCUGCUGUUCCCUGGGAGACUCCAUUCUGGGCCUUCCUGUGCCUGGAGGAGACCUGCCUGGUGUGGUGCUACAGCGGUCAUCUGCUUCGACGACCCAACAUUGUGACACCAACCGACCAUGGUCAAGGGCACCAAUAAAAGCCAUGAGGAGGAGGUGUGGCGGCAGUACAAAGUGCAUGCAGAAGGAGCACGAGAAGGUGCGGCACUUCUAUGGUGACCACGCCAGUGCACUAUUUGAAUACUGGAAAAGUUAGAACUUUCCUGUUCUUGGAAGCUCAGCAGGUGAUGUGGUCACCCAAAAAUGCAACGCCAGUGAGACCUGGGCAGCAGUUGUACAGAGGUUAGUUUCUGCCCCCAUCCACCAGAGCAAGGAAACUGAAGUGGCAUCAAGGGUGGCAGAAUUGGACGCCGCAGUCGCAUACUCUGCCCUCUCGACAUGUGCAAGUGCAUACAUCACACCCUCGGUGAUUGCUGCGGCUCAGCGACCAGCAAACAGGCAUUCUGUGUGUGUGUGCGCUACAAGGUGCAAAAGGUUGUGCCUGCCAAUGUGCCACACCCCUCGCCUGCUGGUAAACAGCAGAUUCUAGCUGUAAGGUACUCAAGGCUCACAGCAUGGUGCAGUUACCAGAGAUGGCAGCUGCAGAGCAUUGCUGCAUGGCAUGUGAAGUGAUCCUCCAGUGAGAAGCUAAAGAACUUGGAGAGAGAGCAGUGAAAUAGCACCAGCCAACUUUUUCGAACCUCGCACAACAGAUCAGGCUGAACAAAACUGCGCAAGUUCACAGGUUUGCCAAGUUGCACUGAAGAAUGAAGAAACGGGUGUCACUUCAGCACGACAUGCCACCAAAAAGCAUCAGGUGAAAAAAAGCACUCCAUGUGCUCCUGCACUUGUGGGUGGUGCCUGGGUACACAAAGUGUGCAAGACUCCAGUUGUUGCUGCUGCUUCUAAAUCUGCCCUAGUUAAUAGCUACAGGAGGCUUCAACAAUGCAGUGUGGCACAGCUCUCAGAAUCUCUGCCCUCAGAGCAGUGCCACUUGGCAAGUGAAAGUCCUCCUGAAAUCGGAAGCUGAAGAGUACACGGAAAACUCUGAUGCUGUAAUAAAGCAAGGUAACUUAGAGGCACCUGAGAGACAGAAAAAUAGCUUUGGUCUUAAAGGCCAUGCUGCACUGCCACCGGAUCACAUGGCACAAUGUUCUGAAGUUGGCACUGUUAAAAACCAUAAGGUCUACAUGAAUGCCAGAAGUACAGUUUUACAGUCCACAGAAGAUUUUGUCUGUUGGAUGCUUGAACAUUCCAAUGCUGUAUCGCUGGCCAAAAGCACUGCAGAAAAACAAAUAAGCACACAGUCAGCAGCUGAAACUUUAGUUCAAAGCAGGGAAGUAGUAAGUAUUACCAGCUACUCCAUGCCUUAUGGAAGCUUUGCGGAGACAACUGCCAAAGUGACCAUACAAGAUAGCCCUCCAUUGGGUUGCAGCAAGAGAGCUAAAGGUCACCGUAGGAAAAAAUGUAAGCUUGUGAGAUCGACACAGGGCUGUAAUCUCAAAGGGGAGGAAGUCUUUCUAUAGGUAGCAAGUUCAGCAACUAGAAACAAUUUUCAGCUAGCUAUGAGGAAUGGAAAAAUAACGCGUUCCAUCCCAUGUGUAUCUCAAGGUCAGAUAAGAAUCCAUUUUGCUUUGACAAAGAUAUUAACGAAGCAGAAUUUCCAUACAUACGUGUUACUUUUGCCUGUUGCCAUUCAGGGUACCCAAGUUCAAGAGGGCAGAGUAUUUGUCCAAACCAACACUUCAAUAGAACGGGUUGCAAAGUUGAACUGAAACUUGUACUACGUUCUACACCACAACCAUUCUAUGAAAUUGUGAAUAUGACAGAGGCUCAUAACCUUAAAAGAGGUCCCGAAGUUCUCAUGUGGUACAGAAUGAAUCGUAUGUAUUAACUCCAUCGGAGAAAGACCAACUAAGAGAAAUGAUUUCUUAUAAUGCAAAUUCCAAAGAUAUAAAGGAAGUUAUUCUAAAGAAAACGAAAAAGCACAUUACUUCACAGGACGUGAGAAACCUAAAGCAUGCACUAGUUCAAAAGAUAGAAGACAGCACACAUCAUGGAGCGCUCCUUCUGCAGGAAAUAGACAGAUUAUUUUCUGAAACUGCAGGAUGGAAACUCCAUGCUGAAAAAAAAUUCACAGAAUGAUCUUCUGUACAUUAUGUUACAGUCGCAGCAUAUGGCUCAAUUAGACGAAAAGUAUCCAGAGGUAUUGUUCUUUGAUGGAACCUAUAACCUUAACAGAGAAGUGUGUGUGUGUUACAUUGUGUUCUGUGUGAAGAUGGAAGUAGUCAUGGCAGACCUAUAUGUUAUGCCGUUGUCCAGCGAGAAACAUCUGAAAUUCUAAAAUCCUUCCUUGAAACAUUUCUGAACUUAAACCCUGCUAUAAAGGCUAAGUGUAAAGUUGCUGUGAUGGACAAGGACUUAAAGGAAAUGAACAUAGUUACGCAACUCUUGCCUGACUGUAGGAUUCUAUUAUGUUCAUGGCAUGUGCUAAAAUAUCUCCACUACGAAGUUCACAACAUAGUUAAAUAGCCUAGACAAGAAUAAUGUAAAAGAUACAAUUUCCAAACUAGUAUUUGCACAUAAUGUUGACAUAUAUGAACAACACUCACUAAAUUUGAAAGAAGCCCUAAAGAAUGACAGCGCUCUACUGGAUUAUUUUUAUAAAAACUGGCACAGCUGCAAAAAUAUCGUUCUUAUUGUUCAGAUAAAAUGCUUAUCGUUCAGAUGUGUACAGUUUAGGAAAUAAUACUAAUAAUAGAAUGGAAAGCCACUACCAAAAGCUAAAGAAAUAUUUAAGACGAGGAAUGCACUUAGUUAAAGCUGUGAAAGCUCUCAUAGAUUAGGCAACUCGCAAUGCCCUUGCAGUCAGUCAUGCGCAAUAUAAAGAAACCAAGUUUUGCGUCAACACAAUUAAAGUGAGCAAUUUUUACAUGGAAAUGUCUACAAUAUAUACACAGUAUGCUAGGAAAUUGGUUUGUAAAGAAUAUGAAACAUUCCUACAAAAUCCUGGAACAUGUUCAGUGUCUGAUGAUCAGCAUGUUGUUUCUGUGAACAAUAAAUGUUGUGUAGUCACAAAGAGGAUGGCAAUGUGCACAUGUACAUUUAACAUGCAGUAUGGGCUGCCUUGCAGGUAUAUUCUUGCAGCCAGGUCAAAGCAAAACGAAAAUCUUUUUGAUAAUGUAUUCCACAACGCUGGCUCAAAUCUGACUUUGUGGAGACUGAAAUGGAUGAGCCACAAGAUGAAGAGAACAUUUUAACUUUGAGUGUAGUGAAAAAAGCAGAGCCAAAGCUUGAUACAUUAGAAUCCAAAUAUAAAUGUGCAUAUGCACAUCUCGUAGAAAUAUCAAAAGGGGCUGCAACUGCAAUGGCGCAGUAUAGCAAAAGUAAGCUGGAGGAAAAACUAGCUGAGUGCGAGAACUUUUUUCACAACCUUAUAACCUAUGGCACAAAUAAGAAAGAACUUUCUAGUUUCACUGAAACAGUACAGAGCAGUGAACAAGAAGUGACAAGCUUGCAAGGGGUAACCAUCUUGCAGGGUGAGGCAGAAAGACAUGAUAGCAUUCCAGUGUCAUCUGCAGAAGAACACAUAACAGCGAGUGAUUACUGUACUGAUGAAUUACAAAGCGAACAAAAUGUAGAUUUGCUAAUAGCUUCAAAUUAUCACGCAAUAUGUCAGGCUACCACAACAGCAACUAAUACUGCACAGCAGGCAACAGUGCUCACCAUUCCUCUUGUAGAAUCGGCUGGUGGUCGACCACAUAAGAAAAGGACAGUGCUUAAUACAAAGCAGUCGGAAAAAAAAGAGAUGUCUAGCUGUUACAAACAGCUCUAGUGUGGGACAGCAAGCCUCACUGCAACAUGUCAAAUGUAAAACAGUGUUCUCACGUAACAAUGCAAUUACACAGGCUAUCUGUGGUUCUUCUACUUGCAACACUUACAAGGUCACUCCCUCCGAACUAAAUGCUUUGCAAGGCACAGGUUGGUUGUCAGAUGCAAUCGUGAAUGCAGCACACUUCAUUAUUUCUCGGCAAUCUCCUGACGGAUGCAAAUUUCAGGAUGUUCUGCUUGGGCAGAAACUGAAGUUCAAGAAGCAAAGUACCUUUGUCCAAAUUCUACACAUUCCAAAUCUUGGGCACUGGGUCACAGUGACAAAUUACGGAGCCCCAGAAGACCAUCUUCCUGCAUGAUUCACUUGAUUGUUACUUAGCAUAGUGCACCAGGUAAUGAAUAUAAUGAAUCUCUCUUCAAGCUAUCUAGAUGUGGAUGCAAAAGCAGCACAAUUCCAAGGGAAUGGCUAUCACUGUGGCAUUUUUUGCUAUUGCAAAUGCAUACUACUCCAUUGCAUCUGGUGCUGACCCGUGCUCAGUUAGUUUCGACAAGUGCCUAAUGCGUUGGCACAUUAUAACAAGUCUAGCAGAUGGUCAAAUUUCGCCGUUCCCUUUAGCUACAUUGCUAAUUUCAAGAGUGAAGCCAAAGUGGAGUCGCAUUGUUAAAAAAAAUAAAAAUCUGCCUCGUAUGAGAAACAUCAAGAGUAAUAGGAUUGAUAGUUGGGCGAGUUGGUACGGUAACAUAAUUUUGUUGCAGCACAAAUGGAUGAAGACACAGACAACAUACACAAGACAAUCGAGCACUGACUUUCAAUUGGAAGGUUUUAUUGAAAAAGAUUGUAUAUGAGUGAUAGCAAUUAAGACACGUAGAAUCCAAAGGAAGACGUGGUGAAACAAGAAUAUGAAGGUUAACAAAGCAUCAAAGUUAAAAGAAAGCCAAAUUCAAACAUUAAAAUCUUCCGGAAAAAGAAAACAAAACCAGAAAGGCAAAAAAAAAAAUUAUGUAACAGAUUAUGUAUUGUGAGCACACGUACUAAGCAGAUAUGCGUAUUCAUUGUCUGACAACAAAACUGAAGCCUGGCUCACGCAUGCGUCUCUCAUUCUUUUAAUAUGAAAAGCUCCGAUUAUUUUGCGAGUUCUUUAGUAUCUAUGUCUAGAAAGGACCUCUGUACCUACCAACAUAGGUGUACAGCUGCAUGUGUGACAGUGUGGCAAUAUAUGUGAUGCACUAGACUUCUUUAAAUAUUUAUUGUGGUUGAAUAUUGAGGCAUCUGCUACUCUGUCCGAGAUACGAUUUUCCACAUGUGAGUGAAAUCUGAUGAACAAUCCCAGUCUCGCAAAGUACAACCAUUGACAAGUGCUUUGUGUUGCAACCACAUUGUCUAUUAUUACACCACUCUAGUUUCCUUCUAGUGAGUGGGUAAAUCCUUGACAGCUUCUCCUAAGCUGAGAACACUGUGUUUACGCCAUAUCUAGUGGCAACAUUUCUCAAGCAAUGUGACAAGUUGUGAAUGUACGGCACCACAGCAAACCUUUUUCCUUUUUGUUUAUUUUCCUGUUCACUUGUACUAACCUGACUUUUUAUCCCUUUUCAAAACUUCUCACAAGUUCUGGACAGCGCUUGACUGGGAAAAUCAGCUUGCUUUAGCCUCUCGAUCUUCUGCAAGAAACUUGGCUGCAUGAAUUACAUGUACAUGACUUUGUUUCAGCUCAUCUGAGAGCUGAAUGUGCUAUCCCUUGCUUUACGACUUUUGACUGACUAAAAUAAAGAUCAAGCAGUGGUUUCCUAUAGACCUAGGGAAGUAACACCAACAAACAUGAUCAGAUGCCACAUGUGCCUCAUUUUAGAACCCCAUCUAGUUCAAACAUGAAUAUUUAGCGUAGAUCUAAUUCUAACAUUUUCUUUAAAUCAGUUACACAUCUAUUUAAAGACCCUUUCUGCUUUUCACUAGUAAUUAAACAGGGACAUUAGGAUUAGAUGAGCGCUAGAUGUUCAUGUUUGAAAACGAUCGUGUUCAAAUAUGAACAUCUAGCAAACAUCCAAUUCUAAUGACUCUGUUUAAUUACAAGUGAAAAGCAGGAAGGGUCUUUAAACAGGCAUUAAACAGAUUUAAAGAAAAUGCAUUACAUUUAACGAUUGCAAAAACUUAGUACUGGUUGCCAAUGUGAGCCAAAUUUGAUUGUGGCAUAAUUUGAAGUGUAGAAAAUAAUAGGAAUGAAAAAUUAACACAAAACGUGACAAAGCUAAUUUCGUAACAAAGAUUUAUAUUGAAAUCCUACAAGUUGUACUUGAUAAAACCAUCAAAGUGAUGAAAUACGACUUAUUCACAUGAAUUGUUCUAACAUUUGGCAAAUACUACUUUUAUUCUAAAAGCUCAUGCAACAAGACAGAUCAUUGUAAGCUAUAAUUCAACACAUUUAUUUCCUAGCUGUUAUACAUUUUAUUACACAGAAAUUUUCAGCUUGCCAAUGAAAUUUUAAUCAUUUAAGACAGAUUUGGAGACCUACUAAGCAGACAUUUUUGUUUAUAUUAAACAAAUUUCACUGAAUUCAUCUCGGCAGUAUCCUACGAGAGUACUUCCUAGUUUACAUGUCUGAAAGCACAGACAUAUGGGUCUGGCUUGAUGUGAGGGUGAACUUUGGCUGUCAAAUGCCUUGAUUAAACAAUUAUUGCACCAAAUUGGGGGAAACUUGAUCAAAAAUAAAAGUUUCAUUGUAAAAGCAGAACGUUUAUAUAGACCUUCAGUUUGCUUGAAUAAUUCUAAAAAAAUUUCAGGUUAUGUAAGCUAGCUAAUAGCAGAAAUAACAUUCACUUUAUGCUUAUGUUAAUAAUUUAAUGUUAAUGUUAAUAUUACAACAUUUAACAUUAAUAUUACAACAUGUGAAUAUUAUUAACAUUAACAAUGAUGUUAAUAAUUACCAGAUCAGAUGUAAGACUACUAUUUUUGGAUAAUUACUCUUUUUUAUGCAUUCGUGCUGCACAACAAUAGCAUAUGAGAACUGCCCAGAAAGUAUGCUCUAAUAAAUUUUUCAGUGAAAAGAAAUGUGUCCCUAUAUUACAGUGAUGCAUAGGCUACUUCUUCUAAUGUGACAAUGUAUGCUUUUUUAGGAAUUCUCCAUAGCGCAGUAUAAAGUUUUGUAUGUCGGUGGUCAGUGUCAUGCUAUCAGCCAAGAGUCACAAAAACCAGAAUGUCACAUCCUGUCUGAACUGCAACAAACUGUUGCUCGACUGGAACCUUCAUUAACUAAGAAUGUCUUUUGGCCUAAACUCUUCUUACCAGCUAUAUUUCUGGAAGACCGAAAUGACGGCACUAGUUGCCCGAUCGGGGAGAGCUUGUAUUGGCAUGAAUUUCGUUUGAGCACCGUGUGACAGAAGCAGUUUCUGUUAAAUGAUGCAGAAUAAUAGAUGGCUGCUCUGGUAGAGUCCCAGUGGCUGCGAAGGUUGUGGCAUAAUUAGGUUAUUGCAUACAAAGAAGCUGACAGCUGUACAUGUCCUACAACAGUUAUAUGAAGUCGUCAAACCAGACGUCACAAGUGAAGGUAUGGUCAAGCAAUGGCACAGGCAGUUAACAGCAGGCUGAUCGAAAGUGAACGGUUAAAAUUGCACUGGCUGCAGCCAUCACUUGUUAUGGUGGAACCAACGGAAAGUGUGUUGUUACAUCUCAACACGGCAAAUGGCAUUCCUUAGUGUUUCCCACAAGGCACCCAUCCAGACACUGACGCAGAACCCUGACACUGGCUGUUGACGGGUCAACAAAGGAGCUUUCCUCAAGGUGACAACGACUACCGGAUUCUGUAGACGUAACAACCGCGAAGGGUCACUGCAAGCUGACCGUCACUGAGAGCUCACUAAUUGAUGAAAGGGGCCAACAUCGAGGACUACUGUGGAAACUGUGUCAACUUGAGUUUCCCAGAUUUCCACGUGGUUGCCUCAUGUGUGGUGGCGAUUGUGCAACAUUGUAGGCAGAGUCCGGCAGAACGGUGCGACAUCAGGGCAGGGAUAUUGUGAACAAUUUGACGAUCAUGAUUGGCCGAGAAACAGUCGUUGGAUUCCCCAAUCUAGUCUUCUAGAGUAAACGGCUGUUUUAAAAAGCAGACACCUUUGGUGCAGGGAGGCUGAUGUCUCCUGAUGUGAGCUCAGACAUAGAAUGUGCUCCUACGUGGAGUGGGCUUCCAUAUAUGGAGCCAGUGCAAAAUAUGUGAAAUAAACUUUCUUUCCUUUGCUCCUA